GAUGAACGCUGGCGGCGUGCUUAAUACAUGCAAGUCGAACGAGGAACUUUUGUCUUCGGAUAGAGGUUUCCUAGUGGCGAACGGGUGAGUAACGCGUUGGUGACCUGCCCCGAAGUGGGGGAUAACAGUUCGAAAGGACUGCUAAUACCUCAUAAUAUCAAUUGGAUUAGAUACCUUUUGAUCAAAGGCGUAAGCCGCUUUGGGAGGGGCCUGCGUCCCAUCAGCUAGUUGGUAAGGUAAAGGCUUACCAAGGCGAAGACGGGUAGGGGGCCUGAGAGGGUGACCCCCCACACUGGCACUGAAACACGGGCCAGACACCUACGGGUGGCAG
Molecule: ribosomal RNA, 331 nt
Filed under: uncultured Chloroflexota bacterium
Lineage: Bacteria; Bacillati; Chloroflexota
Description: bacterial SSU rRNA
Rfam family: Bacterial small subunit ribosomal RNA
Source: RNAcentral